UCGAGAAUCUUCGGCAAUGGGCGCAAGCCUGACCGAGCGACGCCGCGUGGAGGACGAAGGCCUUCGGGUUGUAAACUCCUGUCGAGGGGGAAGAAGGGGUAAAACCUUGACUGAUCCCUGGAGGAAGCACGGGCUAAGUUCGUGCCAGCAGCCGCGGUAAGACGAACCGUGCGAACGUUAUUCGGAAUCACUGGGCUUAAAGCGCGUGUAGGCGGGAGGGCACGUCGGUCGUUGAAAUCCCCCGGCUCAACCGGGGAAGUGGCGCCGAUACGACCUUCCUGGAGGAACGUAGGGGGACCUGGAACUUCCGGUGGAGCGGUGAAAUGCGUUGAGAUCGGAAGGAACGCCCGUGGCGAAAGCGAGGUCCUGGACGUUUUCUGACGCUGAGACGCGAAAGCCAGGGGAGCAAACGGGAUUAGAUACCCCCGUAGUCC
RNAcentral lists this ribosomal RNA (434 nucleotides) under uncultured bacterium. Its description in RNAcentral is "bacterial SSU rRNA". It matches the Rfam family "Bacterial small subunit ribosomal RNA", at positions 355 to 796 of the family's 1533-position model. The record is from RNAcentral.